This 849-nucleotide long non-coding RNA is filed under the name Mytilus galloprovincialis (Mediterranean mussel). Lineage: Eukaryota; Metazoa; Mollusca; Bivalvia; Mytilida; Mytilidae. The record is from RNAcentral.
UGGGGUUUUGAAAAUAUAGAUAUACUUGAACGUGUACAUUUACAAUUUUGUAAAAUGAUUUUACAUUUAAAACAGUCUACUCCAAAUUUCAUAGUGUAUGCAGAACUUGGCAGAUACCCUAUUACUGUGUCUGUAAAACUGCGAAUGAUUAAUUUCUGGAGUAGACUUCUUAAUGGAAAAGAAAGUAAAAUUUGUGCUGUAUUAUAUAAACUUGUAUUUUUAUAUUAUAAUGAUUACGGAAUAGACACUAAGUGGAUAUCAUAUAUUAAAAAUAUUUUUGAUAAUUGUGGUAUGUCCAAUAUAUGGAAUGCACAGUUUGCUGAUAAAUGGGUGUCAAAAUGUAUUGAGCAAAAACUCAAAGAUCAGUUUCAACAAGAAUGCUUUGCAUUUGUUGCAGAAUCACCUAAAACUUUAUGCUAUCGUAUUUUUAAAAAUAAUUUUCAAUUGGAAAAAUAUUUUUCUGUUUUACCUUACAAAUUCAUUUAUACAUUAUGCAAAUAUAGAUGUGGUAGUCACCACUUGCCGAUUGAGUCUGGAAGGUGGCAGGGUUUACCGAGAGAAGACAGAAUCUGCCGUCUCUGUGACUCAAACGACAUUGGUGACGAGUACCAUUAUAUUAUGAAUUGUGGAUCUUUUAUGUUUGAAAGAAAGAAAUUUUUACCUACAUACUGCUGGUCUAACCCUAAUAUCUAUAAGUUUGAUCAACUGUUUAAUUCAUGUAAUAUUGUAAUAUUAGAAAAACUAUGUAAAUUUAUCAAAGUUAUAAAUGUGAAAGUCAGUCCUCCAAGUUAAUUUCAUUGUAUUGUUCACACAUGCUUGUAAAAAUUGUACCUUAUAGUUAUAUUUAUG